GACGAACGCUGGCGGCGUGCUUAACACAUGCCAGUCGAACGGAAAGGCCCUGCUUGCAGGGUACUCGAGUGGCGAACGGGUGAGUAACACGUGGGUGAUCUGCCCUGCACUUCGGGAUAAGCCUGGGAAACUGGGUCUAAUACCGGAUAGGAGCCAUUUUUAGUGUGAUGGUUGGAAAGUUUUUUCGGUGUAGGAUGAGCUCGCGGCCUAUCAGCUUGUUGGUGGGGUAAUGGCCUACCAAGGCGGCGACGGGUAGCCGGCCUGAGAGGGUGGACGGCCACAUUGAGACUGAGAUACGGCCCAGACUCCUACGGGAGGCAGCAGUGGGGAAUAUUGCACAAUGGGCGCAAGCCUGAUGCAGCGACGCCGCGUGGGGGAUGACGGCCUUCGGGUUGUAAACUCCUUUCGCUAGGGACGAAGCUUUUUGUGACGGUACCUAGAUAAGAAGCACCGGCUAACUACGUG
This 465-nucleotide ribosomal RNA is filed under the name uncultured bacterium. Its description in RNAcentral is "partial 16S ribosomal RNA". It matches the Rfam family "Bacterial small subunit ribosomal RNA", at positions 28 to 507 of the family's 1533-position model. The record is from RNAcentral.